AGUCACAAAUAUCGUGAUGGCAUUGAAAGGCAUCAUUGCCAUCCGACAUUUGUGGUUGA
Molecule: microRNA precursor, 59 nt
Organism: Caenorhabditis briggsae
Lineage: Eukaryota; Metazoa; Nematoda; Chromadorea; Rhabditida; Rhabditidae
Rfam family: mir-7583 microRNA precursor family
Source: Rfam